CAUCCCUCUAGUGGUGUGGGGGCUGUGCUUUGGCAAAGUGGGUGGCGUUAUGGGUCCUACAGUAGGUCUAUGUUAUUGUUAGGUGAAGUUAUGGGUCCUGCAGUAGGUCUAUGUUGUUGUUAGGUGAAGUUAUGGGUCCUACAGUAGGUCUAUGUUGUUGUUAGGUGAAGUUAUGGGUCCUACAGUAGGUCUAUGUUAUUGUUAGGUGGAGUUAUGGGUCCUACAGUAGGUCUAUGUUGUUGUUAGGUGAAGUUAUGGGUCCUACAGUAGGUCUAUGUUGUUGUUGUUAGGUGAAGUUAUGGGUCCUACAGUAGGUCUAUGUUGUUGUUAGGUGAAGUUAUGGGUCCUACAUGUUAUUUUUUUUCACACUUACCUAUUGGUGUGUAGCCCUAACAUUCCAAGGCAUUUGUGGACAUUCUAUAGCAAUAGAGUGGGAAAGCUGCUGUGUGUUUGGAGAAUUAAUAGACUCUGCAGUAAAUACAACCUGAUAAAACAUCUCUCUCGUCUACACAUUCCGAUGCGCAAUAGCCAAUCAGAGCCACAGUAGACCUUAAAACAAACAAGCCAUUUGCACAUAGGCCUGCCAUCAUUUACUUAGAACUGGACUGUGUGUUUACAGGCAGUUGGGCCUGCCAUCAUUCACUUAGAACUGGACUGUGUGUUUACAGGCAGUUGGGCCUGACAUCAUUCACUUUGAACUGGACUGUGUGUUUACAGGCAGUUGGGCCUGACAUCAUUCACUUUGAACUGG
This 751-nucleotide long non-coding RNA is filed under the name Salmo salar (Atlantic salmon). Its description in RNAcentral is "lncRNA (ENSSSAG00000106250.1, ENSSSAG00000110810.1)". The record is from RNAcentral. Lineage: Eukaryota; Metazoa; Chordata; Actinopteri; Salmoniformes; Salmonidae.